This 253-nucleotide ribosomal RNA is filed under the name uncultured bacterium. Its description in RNAcentral is "partial 16S ribosomal RNA". It matches the Rfam family "Bacterial small subunit ribosomal RNA", at positions 524 to 776 of the family's 1533-position model. The record is from RNAcentral.
UACGUAGGGUGCAAGCGUUAAUCGGAAUUACUGGGCGUAAAGCGUGCGCAGGCGGUUAUGCAAGACAGAUGUGAAAUCCCCGGGCUCAACCUGGGAACUGCAUUUGUGACUGCAUGGCUAGAGUACGGUAGAGGGGGAUGGAAUUCCGCGUGUAGCAGUGAAAUGCGUAGAUAUGCGGAGGAACACCGAUGGCGAAGGCAAUCCCCUGGACCUGUACUGACGCUCAUGCACGAAAGCGUGGGGAGCGAACAGG